GCCUAGCCGUAAACUUUUAUUUACAUUCAAAUCGCCAGGGAACUACGAGCCAAGCUUAAAACCCAAAGGACUUGACGGUACCCCAUAUCCUCCUAGAGGAGCCUGUCCUAUAAUCGAUAAUCCACGUUUAACCUCACCAUUUCUAGUCUAUCAGCCUGUAUACCUCCGUCGCCAGCUUACCACGUGAGCGUUAAUUAGUGAGCUUAAUGUUUUUCACCAAUACGUCAGGUCAAGGUGCAGCAAAUGAAGUGGGAAGAGAUGGGCUACACUUUCUAUAUUAGAAAAGACGAAAAACUACCUAUGAAACCUAGUUGGAAGGCGGAUUUAGCAGUAAAAUGGAAUCAACAUGUCCAUUUUAACCCGGCACUGGGGUGUGU
RNAcentral lists this ribosomal RNA (377 nucleotides) under Poyntonophrynus fenoulheti (transvaal dwarf toad). Its description in RNAcentral is "partial 12S ribosomal RNA". It matches the Rfam family "Bacterial small subunit ribosomal RNA", at positions 794 to 1384 of the family's 1533-position model. The record is from RNAcentral. Lineage: Eukaryota; Metazoa; Chordata; Amphibia; Anura; Bufonidae.